Molecule: unclassified non-coding RNA, 1350 nt
Filed under: Hevea brasiliensis (rubber tree)
Lineage: Eukaryota; Viridiplantae; Streptophyta; Magnoliopsida; Malpighiales; Euphorbiaceae
Source: RNAcentral
AAAAACCCACACACAUACGUAAAGCGACUGGAAAGAGGAAAACUAAAUAAAAUUGAAGUGAAUAUCUCUCUUGGAAAAUAAUGUGGUCAACUGACUUGCAAGAGAGAAGUUUAUUUUCAUUUAAAGAGUAGAAAACCACACAGUCUGGCUCUGGCCUCAGUUUUAGGAGAGAAAUCAGAAACAGGCACAGUUUUGACUACUUUCCAUCAUUUCCUCGGAAACCAAGCAGAAUCAAAAUUACAUCAUCAUGUAGGGACUUGGGAGCAAAAUGAAUGAUUCAACAGAACGGAAAAAGAAAUAUAAUCCAUCUUUUAGUGAACCAAACUUAAUAUCAGAAAGGGAAAUAAAAAGAAGACCCAAAAUUUUUACACUGUCACAUAAUCGUUAAAUAAAUUUUCCAUUUUUAAUAGCUUUCAUCUAACAAAAAAAUUAAUUUGUUGCAGCUAAUCCAUUUUUUGCAUUAAAAAUUAAAUCCCAAAACAGAAACACACCCAAACGCAUUUGCGCCAUAGAACUAAAAUCUAGCCAUUUUACCAUUAGGAGGAGGGAAAAAAGGGCCCUAUUUAAUUUUAGCUCCUCUUGUUGUUAUAAAUAAAAUAAAAAAAUAAAAAGCAUAUACGAAAUAGAAGUAAAGGCCCCCCAAAGUCGAUAUUUCAGAAACAGCAUAAAAUCCAUUCUCUACAAAAGUACUUUCGCAAUAAAGCCAAAUAUAAAAUCAACUAACAGCUCUGAACUCUACAUCGGAGCUCAAACCAAUCAUCGCUAUCUAAAAAAUAACAUUUUUGAACCGAUAGUGAAGAAGCAAGCAAUCAAAAACCCAAAAAAAUACGAACGCACGCAAUCAGAGCUUUAAGAAUAGCUGAAAAGAGUAGGACAAAAAGAACAAUUUCAUGCAAGGAAAAUUGAAAAUAAAUAAAUAAACAGUACCAGAUGAGAAAUGGCUUUGGGGAAGAGCGAGAUAACAGAGAAAAUGCGAGAAAUGGGAAACCGCAAUGUCGGAGGAUGGGGAGGUGCACGGAGGUAUUGGCGAUGGCAAAAAAGUGAGGAACAAUGGCUGGCAGUCUCGGUGUCCUCACCUUUCUCUCUCUUCGCGUGAUUUCCAGGCGAGAUAGAGUUCACUGGAGCUUAAACGGUGGAAGUGGAGGUCAGGAAAGGCCAGGCGCAGCCGAUGAUUGAUGGCAACUUAUCGCCCGACCCGAGCGCUACUUGUAAGGGGGACAGCACGUUGCCCUGCUCCGCGAGUAGUGGCCAAACCCAGUCAAGCCGCAGGUGUAAGAGCACAAUUGAUGAGAAUGAUAAUUUUGGUGUAUACUUUUAUAAAUAUGAAAAAGUGUAGAAGCCCACAGAGAC